AUUGUUUAAAAAUUAUUUAUUUUUUUAGUGUAUUAUGCAUAAAUAAUGGCAGAUUAAAAUACAUAUAUGUAACCCAGCAAAUUUAGAUCCUUAAGAAUAUUAUGCAGGCAAGUGACUGUAAAGAGUGGGUUGUAGAUUCAGACAUGAGAUGAUACAGCUACAUAAACAUUCAAUGUAAGUUUUAACUUGUAGCAUCAAGUAAGGCCCAGGGAAGAUAAGAAAGUAAAGAAUUAGAGAGAAAUGAAUUUAAUCAUGUCAUAACAUCAGAAGGGUCAAAGGUCCCACUUCCUAUUUAUUAAGAACAAUGGACUUAGUAAACAAUGACUUUCUUUCAUUUCUUGUACUACCUCAAAGAAGUCAUUCAAAACUCUUUUGACUCCUAAUGCCAUCUCAUCAGUAACUCUAAACAACAUAAAUCUUUGACACAUUUGUCUUUUCAUUAAUUUAAAAAAAAUGAAACACAUUUUUUUAGGGCAUCAAUUUAUAUCUGCAAUCAACCUUGCAUAGCAAGUCAACUACCAACAUCAAAUACAAUGUUUAUAUUUAUAACUGCAAGAAGUCAGAUUUAAAAAAAAAAAAAAAAAAAAAAA
This is a non-coding RNA of Biomphalaria pfeifferi, 590 nucleotides long. The record is from the annotation of a GenBank genome assembly. Lineage: Eukaryota; Metazoa; Mollusca; Gastropoda; Planorbidae.